AUCGCCUUAGACGAAUAAAUGAGG
This 24-nucleotide microRNA is filed under the name Brachypodium distachyon (stiff brome). Its description in RNAcentral is "bdi-miR7718-3p". Lineage: Eukaryota; Viridiplantae; Streptophyta; Magnoliopsida; Poales; Poaceae. The record is from miRBase by way of RNAcentral.